Mugil cephalus (flathead mullet) is the source of this 624-nucleotide long non-coding RNA. RefSeq lists it as uncharacterized. The record is from RefSeq and is a predicted model, not a curated record. Lineage: Eukaryota; Metazoa; Chordata; Actinopteri; Mugiliformes; Mugilidae. The transcript has 2 exons.
AAAAAUAGAGCAUGAUUUUGAUUGCGCUCAGAUUCAUCACAGCAGAGCCGGAAGGACAUAAACUGAUGUAGUGAAGUGUUUGCACAGGAAGUCCCAAUAGUGCCCUUGAAGUAAGGACACUGACAGCGUAUUGAGCAAAUCAUGGCAGGAAAACAUGUCUUCCUCUACCGUGGGGGGAAGGGCGGAAUGUUACAAUAUAUUGUGCAAGGAUCAAACACUCAUUUGUGCAACGCUGCAUAUAAUACAGGAGCAACAGGUGAACAGCGUGGCCUGACCCACUGCACCCUGGCUUUCACAUGGAACAGAAUCUGGGUAGCACAUUCUCUCUUGCAUUGCUGUCAUCGACUAACUGGACAACCAGUAGCCUCUAACCCGUGUAACCCGAGCCAGCGCGCAGUACUGAUGCAUUACCUAUCAUGUUAGUGGGAAACUGAUCUCCAACCUGAGAGCCACCAGCGCCAAUUAAUCAUCCUCAGAUGAAAUGUAAUAAUCUGUCAAGUAUUUCGUGUUAUCGCUGAUGGGUUUACAGUGAUUUAAUAACAACACUAGGACAAACUCCUCGUACGACAGGUUUUGAUUAAAACCCGUGUAAAUAAAAAGAGCAGCAGUGUCUGUCAGAGCCCA